GCCAGCAUGGUGUAGUGGUUUGAAUGUCGGACUAGGACUGUGGUGGUCAGGGUUCGAAUCCCUGCUCGAGCA
This is a non-coding RNA of Phrynosoma platyrhinos (Desert horned lizard), 72 nucleotides long. Lineage: Eukaryota; Metazoa; Chordata; Lepidosauria; Squamata; Phrynosomatidae. The record is from the annotation of a GenBank genome assembly.